GACGCGCGGGCGCACAGGCUGGGCUGGGCUGGGCUGGGGGGCCUGGGCGGGGGCCCGCUCCGGCUCC
RNAcentral lists this microRNA precursor (67 nucleotides) under Tursiops truncatus (common bottlenose dolphin). RNAcentral's name for it is "miRNA (ENSTTRG00000022991.1)". Lineage: Eukaryota; Metazoa; Chordata; Mammalia; Artiodactyla; Delphinidae. The record is from RNAcentral.